Molecule: ribosomal RNA, 776 nt
Filed under: uncultured Neocallimastigales
Lineage: Eukaryota; Fungi; Neocallimastigomycota; Neocallimastigomycetes; Neocallimastigales
Description: partial large subunit ribosomal RNA
Rfam family: Eukaryotic large subunit ribosomal RNA
Source: RNAcentral
AUAUCAGUCAUGCAUAGGCAUAUCAAUAAGCGGAGGAAAAGAAACUAACAAGGAUUCCCUUAGUAACGGCGAGUGAAGCGGGAAGAGCUCAAAUUUGAAAUCUUCAAGGUUUUACCUUGACGAAUCGUAGUUUAAAGAAGUGUUUUCUGUUGAAGUUUUGGUAAAAGUUCUUUGGAAUAGGACAUCAUAGAGGGUGAGAAUCCCGUAUUUGACCAUUACUUUCAGCCUUGUGAUACACUUUCAAAGAGUCGGAUUGUUUGGGAAUGCAGUCCAAAAUGGGUGGUAAAUUUCAUCUAAAGCUAAAUAUUGGCGAGAGACCGAUAGCGAACAAGUACCGUGAGGGAAAGAUGAAAAGAACUUUGAAAAGAGAGUUAAACAGUACGUGAAAUUGUCAAAAGGGAAGCGUUUGACACCAGUGUUGUUUUCUCGAAAAUCAAUUAAAAAGAGUUGGAUUUUGUGUUGUAUUGACUUUAUCAGGCUUUCUUCACUCUUUUCCAGCUUUUUUUAAUGCACUUUUCGUUUAACAAGUCAACAUCAGUUUCUUUUGUUGUAAAAAGGUCAUUGGAAGGUGGCUUUCUCUUCGGAGAAAGUGUUUAUAGCCUUUGACUCAUGCAAUCGGAGAGACUGAGGUCUGCAGCGUAGAUCCUUCGGGGUUAGAUACAUUUGUGCUAAGUUAUAGCUUUUCAUAGACAACUUGUUGACUAUGUUUAGUCUUGUAGCUUACUCGCUUAUGCUAUUUUACCUACGCUUAGGAUGUUGAACUCUAUCACACACAG